Molecule: ribosomal RNA, 404 nt
Filed under: uncultured bacterium
Lineage: Bacteria
Description: bacterial SSU rRNA
Rfam family: Bacterial small subunit ribosomal RNA
Source: RNAcentral
CUAAGAAUCUUGCGCAAUGGGCGAAAGCCUGACGCAGCAAUUCCGCGUGGGGGACGAAGGCCCUCGGGUCGUAAACCCCUUUUGUGAGGGAAGAAGUUCUGACGGUACCUCACAAAUAAGACACGGCUAACUACGUGCCAGCAGCCGCGGUAAUACGUAGGUGUCGAGCGUUGUCCGGAUUUAUUGGGCGUAAAGAGCCCGCAGGCGGCUUGGUAAGUUCGAGGUGAAAUCUCCCGGCUCAACUGGGAGGGUGCCUCGAAAACUAUCAGGCUUGAGGCAGGGAGAGGGAUGUGGAAUUCCCGGUGUAGUGGUGAAAUGCGGAGAUAGCGGGAGGAACACCAGUGGCGAAGGCGGCAUCCUGUCCCUGUCCUGACGCUCAGGGGCGAAAGCGUGGGGAGCAAACC